CCCGCCGCUCGCCGGGCCUCGCCGCCCACGGGUCUUCCAGAUGGCCCCAGAUCCUACAUCCCUGACAGAUGUCACCCUCCCCCCACCCGCCCAGUCUCUCCAAAGAUCCCCUUCCCCCCCAGAUAUGCUUUAUUAAACCCGCUCUCCCCACUCCCUAAAGAGCUGGUCUCCUGGAGGUUUAGACGGGCAAUCCAUCACGAUUGGAUUCGUGCCCCUCCCCUCUCCGUCUUUUUCCCUCCUUUCUCCCUCCUUCCCCUUUCCUCUCCUCUCUCUCUCUAUUUGCCCUCCCUAAUUCCCUCCCCUCCUCCCCUUCUUUCCCUCCUCCCUCCUUCCCUUUCCCUCCUCCUCGCCCUCCUUUCUCCAUCCUUCCCCUUUCCUCUCCUCUCUCUAGCUUUGCCUUCCCUAAUCCCCUCCCUCUUCCUUCCCUUUUUCCUUCCUCCCCUGCUCUCUCCCUCCUCCUCCUUCCCUCCCCUUUUCCCUUCCUCUCUUCCUCCCUCCCUCCUCCUCUCCCUCUUUCCUUCCUCCUUCCUUCCCCCUCCCUCUUCCUUCUGUUUCCCUCCUCCUUCCCCUCCUUUCUCCGUCCUCUCCCUUUCCUCUCCUCUCUCCCUCUUUGCCCUCCCUAAUCCCCUCCAUCCUCCUCCCCCCUUUCCCUCCCUCCCUCCUUCCUCCUCCUCCUCCCCUCCCGUCCCUCCUCCCGCUUCCUCCCUUUCUCCAUCCUCCCCCUUCCCUGCCCUCCUUCCCCCUGCCCACCCCCUCCCCUGCGGUCGGGCCCACGGAGCAGGCCCAGAGGGUGUUCCGUUUGGCAUUUUUGAAGAGGGGAGGGCCGCGGGGUGGGUGUCCGGGGCCCAGAAGGUGGGUUUAGGCUGCUUGGAGCCAAACCUCCCCCCGGCCCCUCCAGACAGACGGCAGGAGGGGGUCGUUCCUGGAGAGGAAGGGGGCUUCCUCGCCCUCCUCCCACCUCCCCCGGGGGAGGAGCAAGGAGGGAGCGAGAAGGAAAUCCAGGCGUGGAGACGGGCCCGGGGCCCCUUCGCACCUCGGCACUCAGCCCGCCUUUCGGCAGAUCGGGGAAGAGCGGGACUUGCCGGGGCGGGCGGGCACCGUAUACCUUCCAGCCACGUUGGCGAGACUGGAGUCAUCACCCAACGCAUGUCACCCGUGUCAUACGUGUCCCUCCCAUGUAGACAGUUCCCCCCGCGGGUGCGGGCGGGCAGACACUUCUUCCUUUCUCCCCGUCGAUCUGGCCGUGCCCACAGUCCACCGCGAAACGUCUUCCCCUCUCGCCAAGCGGUGCGGUUUGUCUUUAAGGAGAGGAGAAAAAUAAGAAAUGAGGCUCACGUUGCACGGAUGACAUCACUAGCUUUUGGCCGAGCGCUCUCUGUGCUCCGUCUGGGGGCUCCUGCCAAGGCUGCAGCGCGCAGUCCUCGACCGAGAAAACGGAUGCCCAGGUGUGCGAGAGGGAAGGCGCAUCUCCUCUGA
RNAcentral lists this long non-coding RNA (1476 nucleotides) under Ornithorhynchus anatinus (platypus). Its description in RNAcentral is "lncRNA (ENSOANG00000041616.1)". The record is from RNAcentral. Lineage: Eukaryota; Metazoa; Chordata; Mammalia; Monotremata; Ornithorhynchidae.